CCUACGGGAGUCAGCAGUCGAGAAUCAUUCACAAUGGGGGAAACCCUGAUGGUGCGCCGCCGCGUGGGGGAAUGAAGGUCUUCGGAUUUUAAACCCCUGUCAUGUGGGAGCAAAUUAAAAAGAUAGUACCACAAGAGGAAGAGACGUCUAACUCUGUGCCAGCAGCCGCGGUAAUACAGAGGUCUCAAGCGUUGUUCGGAAUCACUGGGCGUAAAGCGUGCGUAGGCUGUUUCGUAAGUCGUGUGUGAAAGGCGCGGGCUCAACCCGCGGACGGCACAUGAUACUGCGAGACUAGAGUAAUGGAGGGGGAACCGGAAUUCUCGGUGUAGCAGUGAAAUGCGUAGAUAUCGAGAGGAACACUCGUGGCGAAGGCGGGUUCCUGGACAUUAACUGACGCUGAGGCACGAAGGCCAGGGGAGCGAAAGGGAUUAGAUACCCGUGUAGUC
RNAcentral lists this ribosomal RNA (446 nucleotides) under uncultured bacterium. Its description in RNAcentral is "partial 16S ribosomal RNA". It matches the Rfam family "Bacterial small subunit ribosomal RNA", at positions 338 to 795 of the family's 1533-position model. The record is from RNAcentral.